AGUUUUCGAGUAGGAAAUAUUUUAAACUAAUAGUUGUAGAUUUAUGAAUAACUCUGGUUGUGGAUGUGCUUGUGAAUGGUGUAUGUUUAUCUGUGGAUGUUCAUAUGUGUGAUUAUCUUUGGUAUAGUGAAGUUUGUAUUUUGUACUUGUGCGAUGCCAUGCAAAUACAGAGGAGAUUCUGUCCAUGUGAACAGUGGACUCCCUGUAUUUGUGGCGAAUCUGGCAUACUCUGGGGGUCAGGUUUUCAAAAAAAAAAAAUUUGGGCACUUCCGCUUUACUUUUAAAUCAAAAAGGGACCCCGGGGCGUGACAAGAGUGGGCUUCAUCAUAAGGUUCUUAGUUUUUAGUUUAAAGAGGAUAUCAGGUGUAAGUCUACUUUUGUUUCUUCAUAUAGCUCGCUUUUCCCAUGGACAUAGGCAAUUGUCGAACUACGUAAAUCUCGGUUUCUUCUUUCUGCAUUUAUUUCUUUUACCAUUUAGUUUACUCUAUUUUCAUGCAUCUAUAUUGGUACCAUAUGACGGACGAUCCAUCAAAUUUCCAACAAGUGGUAUUAGAGCCUAAUGUUCACGCUACAGCAAAGAUGUUCAAGGUCUCAUCUUUCAAGUUCGAGGUUGAGAAAUUUAACAGAAAAGGAAAGUUC
RNAcentral lists this long non-coding RNA (639 nucleotides) under Ananas comosus (pineapple). RNAcentral's name for it is "long non-coding RNA (ACOM_LNC023221)". Lineage: Eukaryota; Viridiplantae; Streptophyta; Magnoliopsida; Poales; Bromeliaceae. The record is from RNAcentral.